This 253-nucleotide ribosomal RNA is filed under the name uncultured bacterium. RNAcentral's name for it is "partial 16S ribosomal RNA". It matches the Rfam family "Bacterial small subunit ribosomal RNA", at positions 524 to 776 of the family's 1533-position model. The record is from RNAcentral.
UACGUAGGGUGCGAGCGUUAAUCGGAAUUACUGGGCGUAAAGCGUGCGCAGGCGGUUUUGUAAGACAGAUGUGAAAUCCCCGGGCUUAACCUGGGAAUGGCAUUUGGGACUGCAAGGCUUGAGUUUGGCAGAGGAGACUGGAAUUCCUGGUGUAGCAGUGAAAUGCGUAGAUAUCAGGAGGAAUACCGAUGGCGAAGGCAGGUCUCUGGGCUAGAACUGACGCUCAUGCACGAAAGCGUGGGGAGCAAACAGG